CAUUGAGCCUUGAUGUGUAGGAUAGGUGGGAGGCUUUGAAGUGUGGACGCCAGUCUGCAUGGAGCCGACCUUGAAAUACCACCCUUUAAUGUUUGAUGUUCUAACGUGGGCCCCUAAUCGGGGUUGCGGACAGUGUCUGGUGGGUAGUUUGACUGGGGCGGUCUCCUCCUAAAGAGUAACGGAGGAGCACGAAGGUUGGCUAAUCCUGGUCGGACAUCAGGAGGUUAGUGCAAUGGCAUAAGCCAGCUUGACUGCGAGCGUGACGGCGCGAGCAGGUGCGAAAGCAGGUCAUAGUGAUCCGGUGGUUCUGAAUGGAAGGGCCAUCGCUCAACGGAUAAAAGGUACUCCGGGGAUAACAGGCUGAUACCGCCCAAGAGUUCAUAUCGACGGCGGUGUUUGGCACCUCGAUGUCGGCUCAUCACAUCCUGGGGCUGAAGUAGGUCCCAAGGGUAUGGCUGUUCGCCAUUUAAAGUGGUACGCGAGCUGGGUUUAGAACGUCGUGAGACAGUUCGGUCCCUAUCUGCCGUGGGCGCUGGAGAACUGAGGGGGGCUGCUCCUAGUACGAGAGGACCGGAGUGGACGCAUCACUGGUGUUCGGGUUGUCAUGCCAAUGGCACUGCCCGGUAGCUAAAUGCGGAAGAGAUAAGUGCUGAAAGCAUCUAAGCACGAAACUUGCCCCGAGAUGAGUUCUCCCUGAGACUUAGAGUCUCCUGAAGGAACGUUGAAGACGACGACGUUGAUAGGCCGGGUGUGUAAGCGCAGCGAUGCGUUGAGCUAACCGGUACUAAUGAACCGUGAGGCUUAACCUU
Molecule: ribosomal RNA, 809 nt
Filed under: Escherichia coli
Lineage: Bacteria; Pseudomonadati; Pseudomonadota; Gammaproteobacteria; Enterobacterales; Enterobacteriaceae
Description: partial 23S ribosomal RNA
Rfam family: Bacterial large subunit ribosomal RNA
Source: RNAcentral